RNAcentral lists this ribosomal RNA (485 nucleotides) under uncultured Nitrosomonas sp. RNAcentral's name for it is "bacterial SSU rRNA". It matches the Rfam family "Bacterial small subunit ribosomal RNA", at positions 441 to 917 of the family's 1533-position model. Lineage: Bacteria; Pseudomonadati; Pseudomonadota; Betaproteobacteria; Nitrosomonadales; Nitrosomonadaceae. The record is from RNAcentral.
CGGAAAGAAAGAGUUGCAAUGAAUAAUUGUGAUUUAUGACGGUACCGACAGAAAAAGCACCGGCUAACUACGUGCCAGCAGCCGCGGUAAUACGUAGGGUGCGAGCGUUAAUCGGAAUUACUGGGCGUAAAGGGUGCGCAGGCGGUCUUGCAAGUCAGAUGUGAAAGCCCCGGGCUUAACCUGGGAAUUGCGUUUGAAACUACAAGGCUAGAGUGCAGCAGAGGGGAGUGGAAUUCCAUGUGUAGCAGUGAAAUGCGUAGAGAUGUGGAAGAACACCGAUGGCGAAGGCAGCUCCCUGGGUUGACACUGACGCUCAUGCACGAAAGCGUGGGGAGCAAACAGGAUUAGAUACCCUGGUAGUCCACGCCCUAAACGAUGUCAACUAGUUGUCGGAUCUAAUUAAGGAUUUGGUAACGUAGCUAACGCGUGAAGUUGACCGCCUGGGGAGUACGGUCGCAAGAUUAAAACUCAAAGGAAUUGGACGG